This 1728-nucleotide long non-coding RNA is filed under the name Aquilegia coerulea. RNAcentral describes it as "long non-coding RNA (ACOE_LNC001453)". Lineage: Eukaryota; Viridiplantae; Streptophyta; Magnoliopsida; Ranunculales; Ranunculaceae. The record is from RNAcentral.
AGGUCUCUUGAGCAUUCAAGCAUGCAAGGUCUGUUUAGUUAAAACUCCUUUGAUCUAAAAACCCAAAUUUACAAUUCUUUUUGUUUUUCACUGAAUGAUUUAUCUGUUUUUUUACUUAAUGAUGUAUCUCUUAGAUUUGAUGAAGUUUUUUUUUUUUUCUUUUUAAUUAUUAUUAUUGAAAAAUUGAUUCUGUAAAUCAUUGACCGAUCAUAUUAUAUAUCCAUGUUUUAAACAAAAGUUUUAUUAGAGAAAACACAUAAGAGAAUUGGAGUAUGAUUACCAAAGAAACUAACAAGUUAUUUGUAAAACAAGAAUUUUGAGAGUUAAAAAAUAAUAUAGCUUCAAGAUACAAUGAUGCCCUAUUGCCCUACCCCAUAUAUUACCCAAUCUUUCCGACACGACGAGAAAAAUACUCUUAGAAAUACUAUUAGAAAUAUACUCUUAGAAAUACUAUCGAUGCUUUUGUGCUCACAAUAUAAUGUGAUAUGUAUUUGAUAUUUGAAUAGAUUAAGGAAAUAAGUGAGAUUUUGUUAUAGUUGUGUUAAAAAAAAUACGAGAGAAUGACUUUGUAAUGUGUACCUAGGAUGGUUUAGGAGAAGCAUACAAAAUUUAGCAGCACUCCAACUAGUAAGGCAGUUAGGCAGGACUUGAUAGAUUGUUAUACAUGCCAACUUGGACGCAGGGAUUUGCACCCCUUUGCAUCUGAAGUGCAUCAAUUUUUUUUCCUGGAGCCUUCCUGGAGGCAGGGAUUUGCCCCCUUUGAAUGACAUCACUCAACCUGUCUUUAAGUCUCUAACUGUAUAUGCCUGUAUCUUCGUGAUAGUCACAACAUAACACAAUGCGAAUAAAUAUAGAUCAAGAAACUGGUGAACUAAAUACGGGGAUAAUAGGACAUUAUUGCAGACUGGUGAACUAUGAAAACAGUCCGAUUUGAUUUGAUAUUGCUGCCACAGUGCCACAAAACUAAAAUAACAGACAAAUCCAUAACUAAAUACAAGGACAAUAAGAUCUGUAUAUUUAAAAUUAACCACAAAAUGGUCGUUGGUGAUAAUUAUGUACAAUGGUAGAAUUCGUUGUUUUUUACAAGAGAUGAUGAAGUUGCUUUGUUUUAAUUUGGGUUGCUUGUUAUCAUCUCAAUAUACCAGGUAUCUAUAAAAUGAGUUCUUCAAAAUCUUCUUCUUCGGAACUUGGAGACAAAUAUGAACUUGGUAAUAUUCCUUUCAUUUUUCAAUAUAGCUUUACAACAAGCUCUGAAAGUAAAAUCUCUACUUAAUCUUCAUACUGAAGUUGAUGCCUUGAUCAGAAAGUAAUAGAUUCUCUGAAACAAUUAAUCUGGAACAUGUUCAUGUUCAGAACGAAUGCUAGAUUGAUAUUGAUGCAUGCCUAGAGCAUGAACCUUCUCUAGGAUCUUUGGUUGAACUUUGUUUGAUCUAUUCUCGUGUUAUUUAAACAUAUAUGCAGAUAACUUUUGUUAUUUAAAGUCGAGAACAAUAAUUGAUAAUGUCUAGUAUACAGAAUCUGUGUUAAUUUUCUUCCAGCUAUUUUUUCCAAUUUAUAUCAUCCUGGAAUGUGGAAGGUAACAAUGUUAGAAUGGAAUGAGAAUGAUAACUUAUGCUGGAAGGCAGAAAUCCAUUUGGGUCAGACAUGGUUGUGACUUUAGAACCCAAGUGGGGGUGGAGUCAUGCAAGAUUGCAAGCAGUGUGACAUGUCAACUACAAUCUGGCUACC